RNAcentral lists this ribosomal RNA (433 nucleotides) under uncultured bacterium. RNAcentral's name for it is "partial 16S ribosomal RNA". It matches the Rfam family "Bacterial small subunit ribosomal RNA", at positions 29 to 507 of the family's 1533-position model. The record is from RNAcentral.
AACGAACGCUGGCGGCAUGCCUAACACAUGCAAGUCGAACGAGACCUUCGGGUCUAGUGGCGCACGGGUGCGUAACGCGUGGGAACCUGCCCUUAGGUUCGGAAUAACUCCCCGAAAGGGGUGCUAAUACCGGAUAAUGUCUUCGGACCAAAGAUUUAUCGCCUUUGGAUGGGCCCGCGUUGGAUUAGCUAGUUGGUAGGGUAAAAGCCUACCAAGGCGACGAUCCAUAGCUGGUCUGAGAGGAUGAUCAGCCACACUGGGACUGAGACACGGCCCAGACUCCUACGGGAAGCAGCAGUGGGGAAUAUUGGAAAAUGGGCGAAAGCCUGAUCCAGUAAUGCCGCGUGAGUGAUGAAGGCCGUAGGGUUGUAAAGCGCUUUUACCCGGGAUGAUAAUGACAGUACCGGGAGAAUAAGCUCCGGCUAACUCCGUG